GCCUUCGUGGUGUAGUGGUCAGCACGCUGGAGGCGUAUUCCAGAUGUCCGGGGUUCGAUUCCCAGCAAAGGUG
RNAcentral lists this transfer RNA (73 nucleotides) under Stegodyphus mimosarum. It matches the Rfam family "tRNA". From Rfam's summary of the family: Transfer RNA (tRNA) molecules are approximately 80 nucleotides in length. Their secondary structure includes four short double-helical elements and three loops (D, anti-codon, and T loops). Further hydrogen bonds mediate the characteristic L-shaped molecular structure. tRNAs have two regions of fundamental functional importance: the anti-codon, which is responsible for specific mRNA codon recognition, and the 3' end, to which the tRNAs corresponding amino acid is attached (by aminoacyl-tRNA synthetases). tRNAs cope with the degeneracy of the genetic code in two manners: having more than one tRNA (with a specific anti-codon) for a particular amino acid; and 'wobble' base-pairing, i.e. permitting non-standard base-pairing at the 3rd anti-codon position. The record is from Rfam by way of RNAcentral. Lineage: Eukaryota; Metazoa; Arthropoda; Arachnida; Araneae; Eresidae.